This 114-nucleotide non-coding RNA is filed under the name unclassified sequences. Its description in RNAcentral is "drum RNA". It matches the Rfam family "drum RNA". Rfam says of the family: Firmicutes, Bacteroidetes (1 example), Proteobacteria (2 examples), Spirochaetes (2 examples). Terminator (Clostridia) The record is from Rfam by way of RNAcentral.
UGGCUAUGAAGCAAUAGACUGUGUCGGUAUCGCAGCCCAUUGUGGAGCCCGACCUUGGGUUAUGCGAUAACCUCUAACCGAAUAGGCUCUUUGGAGCUGAAAGAUACGCUUUUA